UCUCUUCUCUUCCUUCUCCUUGUGUGGUGCUGCUCGAUACCUCCAAUAAAGAUCUCUUGACGGCGACCAGUGUAGUUUGGUCUCCGCCCGGCCCCUUUCAGAGAGAGCACUUAGGAAAACUGUGCGGAGAUCAGCUGCUGAUAUGUAAAUACUGCUGAAGCUGCUUAUUCAAGAUUAGAAAACCUGAGACCAAGACGGGGGAAACUGCUUUCCACGGUUAAUCGUGAACAACUGGCCAGGAUGGGACAGAAGCCCGUACAUAGCCUUCAUUCCAGGGCUCAGAACAAAAAGAAGGCAGUGGCCUGGGCUGCACCUGAGCUUGGCUUCACAUAGGAGGGAUUCUGGAAUGCAGGAUCCUGACAACGACCUCAAGCCCCUGUAAAGCAACACAUUUUUUGGCAAGAAUGCCUGGGACAGAGAAAGAAGUUCUUCUCCCUUAUUAUUGAGAAUGUUCUCAUAUCUUACAAGCUCAUGGACCCUGGGUUACAAAUAGCUGCUGUACCUGUAGGCAUUAAGGUCGUGUUUCUGAAAAGAAGACAGAAAAAAAGAAGGAAAAGGAAGGGAAGGCAAAAAAUUCAUGGAAAUCGAAUCUGUUCCUCUUCAUCCUCAGAGACACUGGAAUGUUUCCAAAGAGGCAUAUCAUUGGUUUCCACUUACAGUGGCUAUGUUCUACAGCCUCUCCUGACUACAAGGGAGAUGGAGAAAUUGCAUAGUAUUGUCACCACCUUGCAAAACGUCAGCACUUUGGAAUAAGGAAGAAUGUAGAACGAUGUUUCGUGGGUGAUAAAGGCAUCUUCCGGGAAGGAACAAGUUGCAACUGGACACAGCAGGCAUCUUCUUUGGAGGUGCUUCUAAGACAUUUACACCAGGUUCCACUCUCCUAGGAGGCAGUUAAGAAGGAGUUUGCAGGAUAACACAAGUGACUUGCUGUGUUUGGUGUGGAAAAGCAGCUCAGAGGAACUUCCCCUAGGUCAUCACCUUUGGGACCUGCCAACAUGUUUAGUGGAUGCUAUCUCGGUUGGGUGACCCUCAUAUCCUUUGCCUCUUUUUUCUGGUAUCACUCUGCAUUGUAUGGGGUGAUGCCCAAUUCCAGAUUGAAUUUCCCAGGUAAUCCAGAGAUUAUCAGGGAGGAGAUAGGGAAAAGCCAGGACCUUCAUCUUCCACCCUCUCUGCCUUAUGGGACAUCUUUGUCAAAAUGCUCCCAGCAUCUCCUACCUGGCUCCAGCUCCCUGAAAGAGGCUCACUUCCAUUCCAACUUCUGAAGGCCGGCCCUGCUCCUGGCUCUAGUAACAUUGCAUCUUCCCUCUGUUUCUCCAGCUGAGAGGUGGCAGUGGCUUCCUCUGAUUGCUGGCAGAGUUGAUUGGAUCUUCCUUCACAAGUUUCCAAGGCUUAAUACACUUUUCAAAAUCCAUCAGAGUGAAUGUCUUUCUUUAACCCUCAUUGGAGAGGUGUUUCAACCAUAAAUUGCCCAUAGGAGCAAUGUGAUACUGCUUGAUUCCACAACCAUUUUUGUGAUUUGGGAGCAUGGUUUUGCUUGACGUGUACAUUCUUAACAUGAUGAAUAGAAUUGCAGAGGUGACAGAAUAGAGAGAAAUUGUAUAGCUACUUGAAAGCCUGCCCAUGCAUUUAUUUCCCCAGACAGACUAGCUUCAUGCCUCCUGACUGAUGCAUCUAUUACAAAUGGGAGGCAGGAUGAAGGAUACAGAGGGUGGAAAAAAGAGAGCAGUGAAAUGUUGAUUCAAAAAGACAAAAAACAUAAAAUAAAAGGAUUUUGCAUUCUAAAAAUCCA
This is a long non-coding RNA of Symphalangus syndactylus (siamang), 1789 nucleotides long. RefSeq lists it as uncharacterized. The record is from RefSeq and is a predicted model, not a curated record. NCBI's taxonomy places the organism in Eukaryota, Metazoa, Chordata, Mammalia, Primates, Hylobatidae.